AGGGACAAGCCAGUGAGUACGUUUGAAUGUACUCGCAAACAUUAAGAACACGGGUAUAAUAUAAUAAGAGACAAUCAUACUCCGAAAUAUUUAUGAUGAUAAGUCUGCCAUGAAGUAGACGAAAAUCUGUGAUGCACGCGUACGGUUAAAACAUGAGUAUGCAAUACGGGAGUAAAAAUGGAAUGCACUGAGCGAGUGUCUGAAAAGACUCCUCGAAAGGUUGCAAAUAAAAUGACAAUGCCGCAGUCGGGCGUCUGAGCGACACCACAUAAAGGGCUUAUAAA
This is a non-coding RNA of Aegilops tauschii subsp. strangulata, 284 nucleotides long. The record is from RefSeq and is a predicted model, not a curated record. NCBI's taxonomy places the organism in Eukaryota, Viridiplantae, Streptophyta, Magnoliopsida, Poales, Poaceae.